UUUUUUUUAAAAAGUUUCUUGGAUCUAAUUCUGAUUGACAUGAUGAAAUGCAAUAUGAAAUGCUAAAUGAAUGCAUGAAUGAGGAGGGCAAAUUUUGGGGUGUUACACCAAGCAAACACAUCUGAAUACUCUCGAAGAAGAUCAAUCAACCCCUUCUUAACAUUUGGACAUUGUCGAGACCCAAUCUUGACUUCCUUCACAUCAUCCUCGGAACCCAAGUUGACUAACUCAA
Molecule: long non-coding RNA, 232 nt
Filed under: Lathyrus oleraceus (garden pea)
Lineage: Eukaryota; Viridiplantae; Streptophyta; Magnoliopsida; Fabales; Fabaceae
Description: Pisum sativum (pea) long non-coding RNA (PSAT_LNC039370)
Source: RNAcentral